Molecule: long non-coding RNA, 1746 nt
Organism: Panicum virgatum (switchgrass)
Lineage: Eukaryota; Viridiplantae; Streptophyta; Magnoliopsida; Poales; Poaceae
Exons: 2
Source: RefSeq, a predicted model, not a curated record
AUUCGGACUAUUUAACCACCUCUUCUGAGAAAUGGUUGCUCUUAGCCUUCUUAAUGGCUUCUGACCUGCACAAACCGGGGAAAAAAAAGAUCAGAAUUUUAAUACAUACUACAGGUACGUAUUGGAGAUAUAUUUCCACAACUAGACAUACAUGUCCCCACCCUCGCAGUAACCGUUGACAAUACACACGUAGCAACCCUGAUAACAACAAAAAUCGUUCGUUUUCAAGCAAUUAUGGACAUAUACAUCCUUCAUCAGGACCAUUGAAACAUCAAGGAAAGGAACAAGACCGAAGAGUGCCCUUAGGAUGCUGAAACUGUCCACAGCAAGGAUGGGGGACCAUGCUCACCUUCUCUACCCAAGCCUCUUUGUACUCCACAAUUGUAGGUUUAUGCAUGUACGAGCGCAAGAUCAUGAGUCAUGACAAACAGAGAACAGAUCUGUUUGGAGAGCAGUCAAGAAUGCCCUACAAGGAAACAAAGACGUUUGACCGGUUCAAGAGCUCAAACUCUCUCCCUUUUACAAAUUAAACUUUCCCAUUCAUUUACGUUCAGAGUCAAAUUCAAAUUGUUCAUCAGAAUUGGGACCACAAGGAAUGUUGCUAAACCAUGAAGAGUGCUUCAAGAAGGUAUUAUGUCCUGUUCAGCAUGAAAAUUUAAACCUCUUUUUUCACAAGGAAGCUAAUUGGUAACUGCAAGAGUCAACCAAUCUCAAAUUAUGACGCCACAGGGAACAAUGGGAAUAGAGUGUAAGCAAACCUCCUGGUGCGCUGAUCGGCGGCACCGAUUGGUCUGGCGGGCGAGGCGGAUCUUCUUCAAGACAUACCUGAAAUGAAAUGAAAUGAAAUGAAAUGGGCCAGGUUUCAGAGGAGUGACACCAUGCAAGGAAGAAGAAGAGUCCAUGCAUAUCAAUCUAGAGAAUUCACAGGACAGUGUCACCAUCUGCCGGCCGCCUCACCUCUUAUUCUCAACUUUGUGCCUCACCAGGAGCGCAGACCCAAAUGAACCCUUCCCAAUCUGCUCUAACACUUCGUACUGCUCCAUUCCUGUGGUGCUCCUGGUUCGGAAUUCACCUGCAGAGCGGAGGAUGCUUUUGAAGAGGAAUUUAAGAGAGAAGUUAUCACUUAUCAGACGCACAUGUCCCAAGCAAAUCAAGAACCGCUUCAAAUUUUGGAAGUACGAUUUUUUGAACAGCUCAAGAACCUAUGGAGUUCCCAAUCCAAAACAACAACAUGGAGGGAGAGAGAAAAUGAAAAAGGAGAAUCUGGGAACGAAGCAAGAACUGAUCGCAUGGAGGAUUGAAAUUGCAAUGGAUCGGAUCAACUUGAUGGCAAUCGGCUCUGCUCUUGAUAAAUGUGAAUCAACAUCGAUGCUUAAAGUGGAGGAAAGAGAAUGAAUGGGUUCCUUACCUCGUCGGCUAGCUAAUGGAUGAAGGGCACCUGGUUCCUGUUCUUCGUCCUCACUGCUCGGCUCCCAUUUUUAGAGCGAGAAAGUAUGGCUGAUGGAGUGCACCGGAGAAAGAAAGAGAGAGGGAGGGAGGGAGGGUUGACAUGCCGACAACGAAAUGGAGGGCUGGCUGUGCUUGCGAGAGGCUUUCAAAGUUUUAAAAGUGCAGAGAGAGAGAGAGAGAGAGAGAGAGAGAGAGAGAGAGGAUUUGACUAAAAAAAUGAUUGGAUUAGUGCUGGGUGUACUCGAUCAUUCUUUAUGUGCUGAUUCGUAUCGCCGCCCCGUGAUAGCGGAAUUCAUA